AAUUAUAUCUCCAAAAGUGUGUUCUUUUAAAUUUAAGUUUACAUAACGGAUUAUUGGAUAAGCUUGACUCUUUCUCUUAAAACAUCUAAUAAGAGAAGCCCUUAUGAUAAAAAUCAGUGAAAUCGCAUCCAAGUCUUGAUUCCUUUUGCAUUUCACAUUAUUCCACAUGAAAUUGAUUCCUCAGUUAUUGACCUUUUCCUAUUGGUUUUUCAAUAAUAGUUCACAUAUAUUUGCACUGGUGCUUUUCUAAAACUUCAUGUUAUUGUUUUUUAUUUUUAUUAUUGCUACAAUAAUACAAUGUCACUUUAUCAAAAUCUACUUGUGUAAAAUUGGAAGAGACAUAAUACCCCUAAGUAAUUUGAAGAACAAAAAUCUCUUUAACUUAAAUGUAUUUUUGAAGCUUUGUGAAGGAAAUGAUACUAACUUAGAAAGGAUAAAAUAUUUAAUGUUCAAUGCAUUAUUUAAUAUAAAAUAAUAUGAACUAAGUAAUUCUUAAAAACCUCACAAUAUUCCAUUCUUAUUUUGAAAAAUUUGUAGAAGUUAGAUGAAACAACAUUUUCAGUCUCAUAGAAUUGACCUGGUAUGUUGAGCUUAUCAUCCUUGAAGCUUCUUUAGGGUUACCUGGCCAAGGGUCUUUGCCCAGGAUUUGUCUUUAUUAAAUUCAAAGUACUACUCACUUCAGCAGCAAAUAUACUAAAAUUGUGAUGAUACAGAGAAGAUUACCAUGGCCCCUACACAAAGAUGACACACAAAUUCAUGAAGCAUUCUAUAUUUUUCCAGAAAAGAUUGGGAUUCUAUUUCCAAAGUGCUGAAAGAAAAAAAAAACUGUCAACCCAGAAUUUUGUAUCCUGCCAGAAUAAGCUUUAUAAAUGAAAGAGAAAUGAAGUAUUUCCCAGACAAGCAAACGCUGAAAUAAUUCAUCAUCACUAGACCAAACUUACAAGAAAUGCUCAAAGGAGUUCUUAACAUGGAAAAUAAAAGGUUGACACUCAUCAUCAUAAAAAUACAUGAAAAUAUAAAACUCAGAGGUCUUAUUUAAAAAUUACACAAAGCAAGGAAAUGAAGAAAGCAAGUAGGAAACAUUACAAAACCCCACAAAUCCAUAAAGACACACACAAAAAAAAAAAACAGAAAAAAAAUCAAAAGAAACAAAGAAUCUACAAAGCAACUAGAUAACAAUGAACAUUAUGGCAGGAAAUAAAUUCACAUAUAUAUUUAUCAACUUGAAUAUAAAUUGAUUAAAUGCACCACUUAAAAGAUACAAAUUGGUGGAAUGGAUUAAAAACAAACCAUAAUUCAACUACAUGCUGCUUACAAGAAACUUACCUUACUUGUAAAGACACAUAGGGUGGUGGUAAAGAGAUGGAAAGGGAUAUUCCACACACACAGAAACCAAAAGCAGGCAGGAAUAGCUAUACUUAUAUCAGAUAAGACAGAUUUUACACUGACAACAGUAAAAAAAUAAAUGACAAACAAGGCCAUUAGAUAAUGAAUGAUAGAGUUUGAUUCAACAAGAAUAUAUAACAAUCUUAACUAUAUAUGUACUCAACACCAGAUAACCCAGAUUCAUAAAACAAACAUUACCAGACCUAAAGAAAGAGACAUACAGCAAUACAAUAAUAGUAGGGGACUUCAACAGCCCACUGAUAGCACUAGACACAUCAAGACAGGAAAUCUACCAAGAAACUGUGGACUUAAAUUGGACUUUAGACCAAAUUAAUCCAAAAGACAUUUACAGAACAUGCUACUCAACAAAUGCAGAAUAUACAUUUUUCUUAUCAGUGCAUGAAACAUCGUGCAAAAUAGACCAUAAUUUAGUCCAUCAAACAAGUCUCAAUAAACUUUUGAAAAUUGAUAUUAUAUCAACUAUAUUCUCAGAUCAUAGUGGAAUAAAACUAGAAAUCAAUUCAAAGAGGAACUGUCAAAACUACAUAAAUACAUUAAAAUUGAACAAUUAAAUGAAUGAUCUUUGGGCCAAUUAUGAAAUUAAGAGAGGAAUUUAAAAAUCUUUCAAAAUAAAU
This 2021-nucleotide long non-coding RNA is filed under the name Homo sapiens (human). Lineage: Eukaryota; Metazoa; Chordata; Mammalia; Primates; Hominidae. The record is from RNAcentral.